Molecule: transfer RNA, 70 nt
Filed under: Loxodonta africana (African savanna elephant)
Lineage: Eukaryota; Metazoa; Chordata; Mammalia; Proboscidea; Elephantidae
Rfam family: tRNA
About the family: Transfer RNA (tRNA) molecules are approximately 80 nucleotides in length. Their secondary structure includes four short double-helical elements and three loops (D, anti-codon, and T loops). Further hydrogen bonds mediate the characteristic L-shaped molecular structure. tRNAs have two regions of fundamental functional importance: the anti-codon, which is responsible for specific mRNA codon recognition, and the 3' end, to which the tRNAs corresponding amino acid is attached (by aminoacyl-tRNA synthetases). tRNAs cope with the degeneracy of the genetic code in two manners: having more than one tRNA (with a specific anti-codon) for a particular amino acid; and 'wobble' base-pairing, i.e. permitting non-standard base-pairing at the 3rd anti-codon position.
Source: Rfam by way of RNAcentral
GCAGUGGUGGUUAGUGGUAGAAUUUUUGCCUUCCAUGCUGGAAACCCAGAUUCGAUUCCUGGCCAAUGCG